Long non-coding RNA from Physella acuta, 411 nucleotides. RefSeq lists it as uncharacterized. Lineage: Eukaryota; Metazoa; Mollusca; Gastropoda; Physidae. The record is from RefSeq and is a predicted model, not a curated record.
AGCUGACGAAGACAUUGUUUAUAAACUACGUCACAUCGAAGGUUCGUCACGUUUUCGACAAAUAUGAAUCCCUGGAUUUCCCUUUUAAGAACUUGAAAAGAUACGAGGGUAUCAAGGACACAAGAGAGAUGACAGUUGACGAAUAUAUGGGAUUUCUAACCAGCAUCCACUACGUCAACAUGUAUCUCAUGGACAACCCUGACACGGACAUUCUCAAUGAAAUGAAACAAAAACUAAUAUCGACUUACGAAAAACAAUCAGCUGUCAAUGGACCAAUCAAGGUGAAGAGCAACAGUGAGAUAAUCCUAAUCCUCGGCAGAAAUUAGACUGUUAUUCAAUAAACAAGUUUUCUAGCAUAUUUGGACAUAUUUUUAAAGUAUAUUCUUUAUAUAAAAGUUGAAACCCGCUUUU